RNAcentral lists this ribosomal RNA (795 nucleotides) under uncultured bacterium. RNAcentral's name for it is "bacterial SSU rRNA". It matches the Rfam family "Bacterial small subunit ribosomal RNA", at positions 667 to 1463 of the family's 1533-position model. The record is from RNAcentral.
UNCCACGUGUAGCAGUGAAAUGCGUAGAGAUGUGGAGGANUACCGAUGGCGAAGGCAGCCUCCUGGGAUAACACUGACGUUCAUGCCCGAAAGCGUGGGUAGCAAACAGGAUUAGAUACCCUGGUAGUNCACGCCCUAAACGAUGUCGAUUAGCUGUUGGGCAGCAUGACUGCUUAGUAGCGAAGCUAACGCGUGAAAUCGACCGCCUGGGGAGCACGGUCGCAAGAUUAAAACUCAAAGGAAUUGACGGGGACCCGCACAAGCGGUGGAUGAUGUGGAUUAAUUCGAUGCAACGCGAAGAACCUUACCUGGUCUUGACAUGUGCGGAACCCUCCAGAGACGGAGGGGUGCCUUCGGGAGCCGUAACACAGGUGCUGCAUGGCUGUCGUCAGCUCGUGUCGUGAGAUGUUGGGUUAAGUCCCGCAACGAGCGCAACCCUUGUCAUUAGUUGCCAUCAUUAAGUUGGGCACUCUAAUGAGACUGCCGGUGACAAGCCGGAGGAAGGUGGGGAUGACGUCAAGUCCUCAUGGCCCUUAUGACCAGGGCUUCACACGUCAUACAAUGGUCGGUACAGAGGGUAGCCAAGCCGCGAGGUGGAGCCAAUCUCACAAAACCGAUCGUAGUCCGGAUUGCACUCUGCAACUCGAGUGCAUGAAGUCGGAAUCGCUAGUAAUCGCAGGUCAGCAUACUGCGGUGAAUACGUUCCCGGGUCUUGUACACACCGCCCGUCACACCAUGGGAGUGGGGGAUACCAGAAGUAGGUAGGGUAACCGCAAGGAGCCCGCUUACCACGGU